GGGGAACCCCUUCAGCUUAGAUUCUGAGGGUUGCAGAAUUACCAGCAAUCCUCUUCCUGCCACCCAGGGCAGGCCUGUCCGCAGCAGAAGGUCAUGAGGCUGGUCGACCUGUGAAAAUGAGCUGAGCUGAGGUAAGAGAGAUAUACUGAGUUCAGUCCCCAGUUCUAAGUCCCGAGGCUCAGGUUUCUGAAGCUCAUCU
RNAcentral lists this long non-coding RNA (199 nucleotides) under Callithrix jacchus (white-tufted-ear marmoset). RNAcentral describes it as "lncRNA (ENSCJAG00000051430.2)". Lineage: Eukaryota; Metazoa; Chordata; Mammalia; Primates; Cebidae. The record is from RNAcentral.